UGUUUUCUCACAACCACGAAACUGGCGAUGAACGCACAGGUGGUCAUAGUUGUUUUGAGGAGUAUCAAGAUGGCGGAUACCUGCUUUCGGGGGCUUCACCUUUGGUGGCUCAUGAGCCAUCCAGUUUUUUUUUUUUUUUUUGUUUUUUUUUUUAGAUCAGUGGUUCUUCGCAGAAGAUGAAGAGUACAGUACAUGCCUGUUUUCACCAAUGUGGUGGGGAAAAAAGGAGCCACAGCCGCCAGAUUUUCAGCUGUUUCUCGAAUACACGAGAGAACAAACUCAGCUGCUGUCGCCCGCCGCUCACGCCCGGACACUCACGCGGGCUCGACACCACCAGGAUUCACCUCUCGGAGGCGCGUAUGUAAACACGCAGAUGCAGGACGGCGAUGCGCACGCAGGGAAGAGCGACAGGAAGACGGCGAGGACUCUGCACACUUGAAGCGGCGAGUUUCUGCCUCUCUUCCCCAUAACCAUCCAUCCAGCUCGGGGUCGCCCUUCGCUCCUCUGCCUGCUUGAAAGGGGCGACACGGCGCGGG
This is a long non-coding RNA of Syngnathoides biaculeatus (alligator pipefish), 536 nucleotides long. RefSeq lists it as uncharacterized. The record is from RefSeq and is a predicted model, not a curated record. Lineage: Eukaryota; Metazoa; Chordata; Actinopteri; Syngnathiformes; Syngnathidae. The transcript has 3 exons.